UCCUGCUCUUGCGAGACAACUGGGCAUCUGUAACUCCAAGCGUCAACAUGAACAGAAGAACGUCAGUAUCAGACUGAGGCUUGGUCACCCGUCACCAAAUUAAUGUGGCCACUUGCUUCCUUUGUGGAGCUCAAAGAAGCACUUGCCCUCUCAUCACCUCCAUUACAUUACCCGAAGCAUCAUCAUCCAGCAGACCAUCGUCAUUAGUUAAGCAAAUAUGCUGGAAAGUAUUUAUUUCAACAUUUAAAAUACGCUUUUAAUCCUAAUAGGACACCUUUUAGAUUAUUGCAUAGUAAGCUUUGAAUUUUUGUUGCAAAUUUAACAUUUUUGUAUUAAAUUUCGAAUUUGUCAAAUGCAAGAACUGGGCCAACAUUAUCAAGCACCAACUAGUCUUGGUUUGAGCUUUGUUGUUGCUGAUUUAUUUCGUCCCAUUUCAGGAAAAGUUGAAGAUUAUAACAAUCUUGGAGCAAUCCAAAGUGGAUUUAUUGCAAGGAAUUGAUUGUUAUAAGAAGUGCCAACUGAAAUUAUGAACAAUUCUUAUUUGUUCAUAGAUCAGGACUGAUGGAAAAGUAACUGUUUGUUUUACAUUUAUGUGUUUAAUGUGGGAUUUUUUAUUCUUAUAUUUGUAUGGAAGUUUAAAGUUUGCAUCAA
Molecule: long non-coding RNA, 651 nt
Organism: Ricinus communis (castor bean)
Lineage: Eukaryota; Viridiplantae; Streptophyta; Magnoliopsida; Malpighiales; Euphorbiaceae
Exons: 2
Source: RefSeq, a predicted model, not a curated record